RNAcentral lists this microRNA precursor (194 nucleotides) under Physcomitrium patens. RNAcentral's name for it is "Physcomitrella patens miR1028b stem-loop (ppt-MIR1028b)". The record is from miRBase by way of RNAcentral. Lineage: Eukaryota; Viridiplantae; Streptophyta; Bryopsida; Funariales; Funariaceae.
CAAACAAGCAAAUCCAUUCUUGGACUAGUUCUUAGAUCUACAAUGCCACCUACAACAGCAAUACUUAAGGUUAUGAGAAGAUAUCUAUCAUGCUCUCUGGAGUGUGGUCCUCUUCUUACAAUCUUAAAUUUUAAAUUUCUUGAAAGGCGGCAUUGUGGACCUAAGACCUUGGUCAAGUGUGGAAUAAGGCUAAA